Spinacia oleracea (spinach) is the source of this 489-nucleotide long non-coding RNA. RefSeq lists it as uncharacterized. The record is from RefSeq and is a predicted model, not a curated record. The transcript is spliced from 3 exons. Lineage: Eukaryota; Viridiplantae; Streptophyta; Magnoliopsida; Caryophyllales; Amaranthaceae.
CCUGAACCCCAUCUCACUCCUCCCGUAACUCCCUCCCUCUCCUUCACUUCUACUUUGUUCCUUCUCCCCUCCUUGCGCCGCCCCACCGUCGCUGCUCCACCUCAGCUCACCGCCGCCAUCGCCGCUAUCACACCGUUGCAGAAGAACGAGUUGGGGAAUAGAACAUCCAAAAUUGCGCUAAGAGCUUGCUCAAGGAGAUGCAGGUAUUGGCGUUGAAUUUUAGGUACACUUGAAGUAAAGUUGAGAGCUUAGUUGAAGUGUACUUCUAUGGAAGACUUUAAUAAGUGUAUAUAAGUUAAUUGAAUUCUUUUAGUUAUGUAAUAUUAUUAGUACUUAGCUUUGCAUCCGCUUUAUAAGUAGGUGUAGCAGUAACACCCUGAUGGUGUAUUGGGAAAGUUUUAUAUGUUGGAAUGAUGUAGUUGAUGCAGGUUAAAGGAAAUAUGACGUAAUACCCUAAAUAAUAUUUUAGGUUGUCCAUAUUUAGGGAAA